Molecule: ribosomal RNA, 379 nt
Filed under: Salmonella enterica subsp. enterica serovar Pullorum
Lineage: Bacteria; Pseudomonadati; Pseudomonadota; Gammaproteobacteria; Enterobacterales; Enterobacteriaceae
Source: RNAcentral
GCUAAAUGCGGAAGAGAUAAGUGCUGAAAGCAUCUAAGCACGAAACUUGCCCCGAGAUGAGUUCUCCCUGAGACUUAGAGUCUCCUGAAGGAACGUUGAAGACGACGACGUUGAUAGGCCGGGUGUGUAAGCGCAGCGAUGCGUUGAGCUAACCGGUACUAAUGAACCGUGAGGCUUAACCUUACAACGCCGAAGAUGUUUUGGCGGAUGAGAGACGAUUUUCAGCAGUGAUUCAGAGUUGAGUACGCAAUAAUUUGCGCAGCAGCAAGGCGGCAAGCGAAGGAAAGGAAGGAGCAUACAGAAGUAUGUGACUGAGUUUACGAGCGCAGGCAACGCCGCUGAUGCGAUAAAGAAUUGCGUACAGAGCACAAAGAAUUUG